GCAGAAGUAACUCAAUUUGGUAGAGUGUAAUCUUGCCAAGAUUAAAGAUGAGGGUUCAAAUCCCUUCUUUUGCU
RNAcentral lists this transfer RNA (74 nucleotides) under Thalassiosira nordenskioeldii. RNAcentral describes it as "tRNA-Gly". It matches the Rfam family "tRNA". Rfam says of the family: Transfer RNA (tRNA) molecules are approximately 80 nucleotides in length. Their secondary structure includes four short double-helical elements and three loops (D, anti-codon, and T loops). Further hydrogen bonds mediate the characteristic L-shaped molecular structure. tRNAs have two regions of fundamental functional importance: the anti-codon, which is responsible for specific mRNA codon recognition, and the 3' end, to which the tRNAs corresponding amino acid is attached (by aminoacyl-tRNA synthetases). tRNAs cope with the degeneracy of the genetic code in two manners: having more than one tRNA (with a specific anti-codon) for a particular amino acid; and 'wobble' base-pairing, i.e. permitting non-standard base-pairing at the 3rd anti-codon position. The record is from RNAcentral. Lineage: Eukaryota; Bacillariophyta; Thalassiosirophyceae; Thalassiosirales; Thalassiosiraceae.